GACAGAGGAUGCAAGCGUUGUUCGGAAUUAUUGGGCGUAAAGGGCGCGUAGGCGGCUGUACAAGUCAAAGGUGAAAUCCCUCGGCUCAACUGAGGAACUGCCUUUGAAACUGUACGGCUUGAGGCCGGGAGGGGGUAGCGGAAUUCCCAAUGUAGCGGUGAAAUGCGUAGAUAUUGGGAGGAACACCAGUGGCGAAGGCGGCUACCUGGACCGGUUCUGACGCUGAGGCGCGAAAGCGUGGGUAGCAAACAGG
Molecule: ribosomal RNA, 253 nt
Filed under: uncultured bacterium
Lineage: Bacteria
Description: partial 16S ribosomal RNA
Rfam family: Bacterial small subunit ribosomal RNA
Source: RNAcentral